UACAGAGGGGGCAAGCGUUGUUCGGAAUUACUGGGCGUAAAGGGCGCGUAGGCGGCCCGCUAAGUCGAACGUGAAAUCCCCGAGCUCAACUCGGGAACUGCGUCCGAUACUGGCGGGCUUGAAUCCGGGAGAGGGAUGCGGAAUUCCAGGUGUAGCGGUGAAAUGCGUAGAUAUCUGGAGGAACACCGGUGGCGAAGGCGGCCUGCUGGGCUGUUGCUGACGCUGAGGCGCGACAGCGUGGGGAGCAAACAGG
Molecule: ribosomal RNA, 253 nt
Filed under: uncultured bacterium
Lineage: Bacteria
Description: partial 16S ribosomal RNA
Rfam family: Bacterial small subunit ribosomal RNA
Source: RNAcentral